This 71-nucleotide transfer RNA is filed under the name Phrynosoma platyrhinos (Desert horned lizard). RNAcentral's name for it is "tRNA-OTHER". The record is from RNAcentral. Lineage: Eukaryota; Metazoa; Chordata; Lepidosauria; Squamata; Phrynosomatidae.
GCCAACAUGGCAUAGUGGUUUGAGUACUGGACUAUGGCUCUGGAGACCAGGGUUUAAUUCCCUGCUUGACC